AGCAGCCGCGGUAAUUCCAGCUCCAAUAGCGUAUAUUAAAGUUGUUGCAGUUAAAAGCUCGUAGUUGAAUUUCGGGGUCAGCAGGUUGGUCGUGCCACUGGUAUGUACUGGCUUAGCUGAUUCCUCCCUCUUGUAGAACCGUAAUGCCAUUAAUUUGGUGUUGCGGGGAAACAGGACUGUUACUUUGAAAAAUUAGAGUGUUUAAAGCAGGCUAACGCUUGAAUACAUUAGCAUGGAAUAAUGAAAUAGGACGUUCGAUCCUAUUUUGUUGGUUUCUAGGAUUGACGUAAUGAUUAAUAGGGACAGUUGGGGGCAUUAGUAUUCAAUUGUCAGAGGUGAAAUUCUUGGAUUCAUUGAAGACUAACUACUGCGAAAGCAUUUGCCAAGGAUGUUUUCAUUAAUCAAGAACGAAAGUUAGGGGAUCGAAGACGAUCAGAUACCGUCGUAGUCUUAACCAUAAACUAUGCCGACUAGGGAUCGGAUGAUGUUAAUUUUUAAUGACUCAUUCGGCGCCUUACGG
This 520-nucleotide ribosomal RNA is filed under the name uncultured Glomeromycotina. Its description in RNAcentral is "SSU rRNA". It matches the Rfam family "Eukaryotic small subunit ribosomal RNA", at positions 569 to 1093 of the family's 1831-position model. The record is from RNAcentral. Lineage: Eukaryota; Fungi; Glomeromycota.